This 554-nucleotide ribosomal RNA is filed under the name Escherichia coli. Its description in RNAcentral is "partial 23S ribosomal RNA". It matches the Rfam family "Bacterial large subunit ribosomal RNA", at positions 1 to 585 of the family's 2925-position model. Lineage: Bacteria; Pseudomonadati; Pseudomonadota; Gammaproteobacteria; Enterobacterales; Enterobacteriaceae. The record is from RNAcentral.
GGGUUGUGAGGUUAAGCGACUAAGCGUACACGGUGGAUGCCCUGGCAGUCAGAGGCGAUGAAGGACGUGCUAAUCUGCGAUAAGCGUCGGUGAGGUGAUAUGAACCGUUAUAACCGGCGAUUUCCGAAUGGGGAAACCCAGUGUGUUUCGACACACUAUCAUUAACUGAAUCCAUAGGUUAAUGAGGCGAACCGGGGGAACUGAAACAUCUAAGUACCCCGAGGAAAAGAAAUCAACCGAGAUUCCCCCAGUAGCGGCGAGCGAACGGGGAGGAGCCCAGAGCCUGAAUCAGUGUGUGUGUUAGUGGAAGCGUCUGGAAAGGCGUGCGAUACAGGGUGACAGCCCCGUACACAAAAAUGCACAUAUUGUGAGCUCGAUGAGUAGGGCGGGACACGUGGUAUCCUGUCUGAAUAUGGGGGGACCAUCCUCCAAGGCUAAAUACUCCUGACUGACCGAUAGUGAACCAGUACCGUGAGGGAAAGGCGAAAAGAACCCCGGCGAGGGGAGUGAAAAAGAACCUGAAACCGUGUACGUACAAGCAGUGGGAGCCUCUU